CAGGCACUUCUGUCCAAUGAGAUAAAGCAGGAGGAAGGUCUAUCUGAUCUCAGGUCGCCUGGUGUGGAGCUCCUUCCUGCCUGCGGAGCACAGACAGAAGAGAGGUGAAGGAGUUGGACCCAAAGGAGAGUUGGACCCAAAGGAGAGUUGGACCCAAAGGAGAGUUGGACCCAAAGGAGAGUUGGACCCAAAGGAGAGUUGGACCCAAAGGAGAGUUG
Molecule: long non-coding RNA, 218 nt
Organism: Oncorhynchus tshawytscha (Chinook salmon)
Lineage: Eukaryota; Metazoa; Chordata; Actinopteri; Salmoniformes; Salmonidae
Exons: 2
Source: RefSeq, a predicted model, not a curated record